Molecule: unclassified non-coding RNA, 1555 nt
Filed under: Leishmania donovani
Lineage: Eukaryota; Euglenozoa; Kinetoplastea; Trypanosomatida; Trypanosomatidae
Description: gene:LdHU3.30.1990(CDS-product:S1/P1_Nuclease_put ative)
Source: RNAcentral
CGGACCGGCUGCUGGAAACGUACAUCUUUCCAGAAGCGUUGCGGACACUCGUGGAUAUACGGGAAGUUCAUGAGGAGAGCCACAUGUUUGCCGUAAACACCAGCUACCCCGGCGUAACACCAGGUGCGACUCUCAGCGAGGCCUACCUUGCUCGAUGCAAGCGUGUCGCUGAGGCUCGACUGACGCUUGGUGGCUAUCGCCUCGGCUACCUUCUGAAUACGCUGCUGUCGAGUAUCCAUGUCGACGAGGCCACACUGGAGGCGUACCGCGCUGCACGUCCGAAGCGAGGUGCGUAAACGGCGGGUGGCCAGCAGCCGCUACGGAUGGGAGGCCACUUGCACUGAUGCGGACUGUGUGCCUGCACCUGCCCAUGCACGGGCAUAGGUGAGCGCCGCGGAAAGCGAAGAAGGGCUGGCGUCCUAUUCCUUUUGCUGUGUGUGCAUGAACUCGGGCUAUGGAUCGGCAGCGGGGGACGAGAGCGAGGAACUGCCUUGUCGGCAGUAUGUGUCCGCUCUACUUCUGUGGCAUGCGCAGGUCCUCACCUCUUUUGUCUUCGUCUCUGUGCACGAAUCCCUGAUGACAGGGAGGGGGCGCACGCCUCAGCGCGUCGUAUCCUCAGGGCCCCGCACACCGACUCCGCCGGGAAGCCAGGCAGCCUCCCAGCCCCCUAUCCAUUGCCCAUGCCGAGCUACUUCCGGCGGUGACACGGUCACGCGCCCACGAAGUGGGGUGGGGGUGGAGGUGAGAGCGAUGUGCUGCUGCUGAUGUCUGCGGUGGGAGACUGGAUGGCGCUGCGUCGGAGCGGGCUGCGGCAGCGAGCACGUCUGCGCCGCCCACAUGAUGGACGAGGCGUGAGCGUGGCUGGAGGAUAUCCCACCCGGCGCUGGCACUGCCUCCUGGUGUGGGGAGCCUGCGCCACGGCGAGGGGGAUGCGCCAGGAGGGGUGGCGGCCGGCGGAGCGGGUGGUUUGCAGAGCUGGAGGCAGCGGCCGUGCUUGUGUGCCUGGGUGGGCGCAGCGCUGUGACGCGUGUGCCCACCGCUGCCUCGUCCCGCGCGGUGUGACCUGUGGCAUGUGACGGGGAGAGGUGGGGGCGCAUCGCGGAGGUGGAGUCGUGUUGCGCGGCAGAGGAUGGAGGUGGUGGGGAAAAGCUGAUCGCGGGAGUCGAACGAAGCAGAACAGCAGCAGAAGAGUACCUGGAAGGCACAGCAGUGCCGUGGCCUCAACAACUGUGGUUACGGCUGCACUUGGGCAGACGCAUGAUUAUGAGUUGCGCUAACCGUUGUGCUGUUCACGUACGCUCAUGUGCUUCGCAGGUAGCGUACGUCCGCUCCCUCCGACUGGCUGGCCGCCUCCCAUCGUCUUUCCCGCGAAGGGAGCGAGCGCCAGGUGGGCUGCGUUGUGCAUCCUGUAAGCUCCCUGACGCGAGGUGGCGUUGCCGGGAGGGAGCGUUUGCGCUGUCUCUCGCUAAGUCGUUUCCCUGGCCUGCCACUCUCUCUCUUUCGCCUUCCGUUUGCUUUCUUGUGGCUGCUGCCCGGCGUGUUUGCGUCUCUGUAG